This 459-nucleotide ribosomal RNA is filed under the name uncultured bacterium. Its description in RNAcentral is "partial 16S ribosomal RNA". It matches the Rfam family "Bacterial small subunit ribosomal RNA", at positions 338 to 795 of the family's 1533-position model. The record is from RNAcentral.
CCUACGGGAGGCAGCAGUGAGGAAUAUUGGUCAAUGGGCGGAAGCCUGAACCAGCCAAGUAGCGUGCGGGAUGAAGGCCCUACGGGUCGUAAACCGCUUUUGCACGGGGAUAACACCCUCCACUUGUGGAGGUCUGCAGGUACCGUGCGAAUAAGGGCCGGCUAAUUCCGUGCCAGCAGCCGCGGUAAUACGGAAGGCCCGAGCGUUAUCCGGAUUCAUUGGGCUUAAAGGGAGCGUAGGCGGGCGUUCAAGUCAGCUGUAAAAUCGCGCGGCUCAACCGCGCCCCGCAGUUGAAACUGGACGCAUUGAGUUCACAACAGGCAGGCGGAAUUCGUGGUGUAGCGGUGAAAUGCAUAGAUAGCACGAGGAACCCCGAUUGCGAAGGCAGCCUGCCGGGGUGCGACUGACGCUGAGGCUCGAAGGUGCGGGUAUCAAACAGGAUUAGAUACCCCAGUAGUC